AAGGGAUUUAUUUCGCCUUUUUUGAAUCUCUCCCCACAAUCAACCACUUCCCUGUUUGCCAUCCCCAAAUCAGGGGAAGCCAUAUCACGAUCCUGCUCUUUGAGAAAAUCUGCCUCUUUGUUGGCUGUGAAACCACUGAAGAGAAGUACGAAUACAACGAGGCCCAGAUUGUAGACUUUCAAAAGAGAGUUGUUGAAGUAGAUGUUACAGAAGUUUUCUGACAUAUGGAGUUGUGUUGGAAGCAUGCUGGUAGCUCACGAUUUGUCUGUCACUUUUAAGGGCAAUUCUUUUGUCCUAGCUAAAACGUUGCCAAUCUAAAUAUUUAACUUUUGUGUUUCAUGGUCAAGGCUAGCAGAUUAACUUAGGUUUCUGGAAUAAAUAAAACACUGCAGAAAAAUAAAUACAGAUUCGAAUGGGAAUGUUCUGCUUAUACGGGUUUGACGAUCUUUGGAAUCUAUCAUGGUUUUGAUCACGACAUUGAUAGCUGUCUAUGGUUUUAAACUAGAGUAGCUUCCUUCAAUUUAAAUUAAUCUCAGAAAAAUGUAGUGUUACGAAAUAAAUGGUGAAGAUAUAUAAUGGGCAUAUGUCUAUUUUUAUUGUUCAGAUUAAAAGAGAAGUGUCGAAUAUUAUUGUGAGAGUGGUAGUUCGUAAACUUUUGCUGUCACGAAAGAUAAGAAUAUAGAGCUCUCACAUGUAAGACGCCAACAUAAACUAUAACGUGAGUUUCUUCUUUUCUUUUAUUGUUCUUUCCACAUCUCUAAAUAUUCUAUGUUUUCUAUGUUCUUACUAAUGCAACUCUUGGAUAAGAACCAUACAACAGGAAAGACUAGAUGUUUUAUGUUUUCCUCUGUUCUUAUCAGAAAAUGUAUUUUUCUUUCUAUUUUGGUUAAUUUAGAAUGGAAGGUUAGUUUGUUUAGAUCACUGAGGAAGCUAUAGAGCUUGAAAAGCAACUCAGACAGACCACUUAGGAGAAGAAUGAAGCUGUGCGAGGCCAAGACUUUGGGAAGGUGUUGUCUUCGAGUUUGUCUUACUGUCUAUAAACCCAAGAAAAGUGUUGUCGGAUAAAUCUAGCUGUCUUUUCCAAUAUUGAGCAGAGCCUCCACGCCGGUUAUCGGCCAACACGAAGCUGUCAAAGCCAUUAACCAGCAGUGCACUGCGAAGAGUUUUAAGGGCCUAAGACAAAUUUUAAAAAUAAACUUAUUUAUAACUAUAAUGAAAACAAUUUUGCAAUAUGAUAUAUCGCUUUCACCAAAUGCACAAAUCUAACGCUCUAAAAGAAUAAGUUUAUGCUAUAUUAGUCUAGUAUGUGGAAAAAGUUUUUAAAAAAUAAGUCUAAACCAUUAAACCUGGAGACCUAAGGCGAAUGUCUUUUUCAAUACACUACAGACACGUUUCUGUUAACCAGGAGAUUCAACGUGCAUGUGUUGGGCUCAAGAAUCCGAACCGCCCAAUCACAAGUUUCAUUUUCAAUGUUAAACGAUUUUUGUAAAGUGUUCUAUGUACAUUAUAUUUUAUGUAAUUCUUUCAUGCUGCUUGAUCGUAGAUUUAAAACAUCACACUGGAUUGUGUUUCACUGCAAACAGAUUUGUAAACUAUGCAUUUAAAAAAUGUACUUAUCAUUUCUCAUACUUUUUCUUCUUUUUGGUGACAGUUAAAAGUAGUUCGCCGUAAUGGAAUUACAUCAUUCGGAUUGGGUUUUAUGAAAAAGGAUUAGGAUGUCUAAGUAAAUAACUAAAUAAAAGUAAUAUCUUCAAAAGUUAAAAUGACAAUAUUAAUACAGCACAAGACGUUGGUAAAUGUUUGUUCUCUUUCUUUUUCUAAAACUGUUUUAAUCAUUUAAGAAAGAAGGUUUGGAGUAGUUCAAAAAAAAAAAAAGAAGGUUUGAUUUACAAACUAUUUCCUGAAAACUAUAAGCCUCUGGCCAAGAUAAAGUAAAAACAUAAUAGAAGCAAUAACAUACAAACAGCUUAUAAACAUAUCUGGUUUUCUUUAUCGAAGCCAAAGGUCCAGUAUCUUCCUAAAAUUCUUCAUGUGGAUAGUGACGAGAUGAUGUUGUGGACGUCUCGAUCUAUUUUUUUAAGCAAAGCUUCAUGGGUGAUGUAGUGCUGGUUGUGGAGUACAUUAUUAUACAGUUUCCAAAGAUGAAAAAUAGGUCCUUGAGCUCUUAUAUUCCUGAGAAUAGGUGGUAAGUGUUCCACACUACUUAAACCUUAUCGUGAGUACUCACAAACUUAUCUUUCAGAGUCAAAACUAUAACAAAGCAAUAAUAACCCACCAAUUAUGGUUUUAAAAUUAAAGAAAACAAACAACGUUACAUAGACUCACCAUGCAUGUCUUCAAGUUUUUUGUGAAAAGAUACAGCUUGAGAGUCGAAUACACUCAAAAAGAGAGUCCAGUUUUUAUUAUAUAAGAUGGUCGUUACAAAAGUUGCCUUUGAACAAAUAUCAAUUUUAAUAUAUUGGUGUACUUAUAUAAGAAACUAGUAUCGUUAAAAUAUACAGUUUGUUUUCAUAAAGACAACAAAAAUAUUAAUUUCAUAUAAAUAUUAACAUGGUAACUCUAUAAUAGAUAACAAACCCAUUUCAAUAAAAAAACAAAAAAAAACAUUAUACAUUAAUAUCUAUCAAAAAGGUGACGAUAUUUAACCCAAAACCUCAGCUAUCUAAGUACACUAAUACAUCAAAAUACAACACAAAAAGUACAUUCCUUCCAUUCAAAUCACCAUGAAAACAGAACUACUUUACAAGCUAUCCUUCACCUUCACAAAGGUAUCUAACCAUCAAUAUAAAGAGGUUUAAUACAAAUCAAAGAGAUAUAUCAAAAAAAAAAGAAAAAAAAGAGAUAAUCCAUUAAUAUCAACUGCUCUAAAACUGCUUUUGGUUAUAUAACCGAACACAGACUUUAUUAAAUCAUUUUUCGAUGACAGAAAACAUAAAAAUUGAUGAUGAUGAUGAUGAUGAUGAUGAUGAUGAUGAUGAUGAUGAUAAUGAUGAUGAUGAUGGUGUGGAGAGAGGAAAGCUCUAUCUACCAAAUGACUUCUCACGGAUUUCUAGAGCCUUUAUUGCUAAUUCCUCAUAACAGUCAGGUUGAGAAGGAGUGACUGCAAUGGGAAGGUUAUGGACUGAUCUUCUGAAGCAACUUACUUCUCCAUGAUGUCAAAACAUGUUCUCAGAAAUCACACGGCCUCCACAUAGUUUUUGCACUUUAAUAAGAUGUUGCAAGGUGUAUAAGAUGUGUAGCUAUGCUUGAUGGUUUUUAAGAUGUUGGUGAGAAAAAAUCAACAAAAACACUACUAUCAUAUUCAUAAACAACCCUAUACUUAAGACCCCAAUAACAACACAAAAUACAAAUUUCCAUAACACAUAUAUCGUAGCACGGACCGACUCUAGUAUAAAAUAUUAUUGUGUGUUUUAAUAUUCUAAAGUCAAAUUAAAGUUUUAUAUAAAUAUUAUAGAAAUUGCCACAUAUGCCACAUUCAUAGUACCACUUUUCAUGUUUACACUAACCAUUUUUACCCUCACUUUUAAUGAUGGGUAAAAAAUAUUUAUACUCCUAAAGUUAAUUAAUUUAGACUUAGGGUUCAGAGCUGAGGGGUGGAUAGGUUUUUGAAAUGUGAAAUUACGGAUUCUAAUAAAUAUAUAAAUAAAUACUUAAAAAAAAUAAAAAAAAAAUAGUUUCAAACAUAAUUUUUGAUUUUCACAAAAAAAAUUAUGAAAAAAAAUAAAAAAAAAUCGGAAAAGAUUGAAUUUAAAAAAGUAUAAUUCGAAAACAUAAAAUAUAUAUUUUAUUAUUUAUUUAAGUAAUUAUUUAUCAUAUAUAUAUAUAACAAGGGUACAAGAGUCUUUUGCCACUUAAUGAAAAAAAUAUUUUUGAACAUGUCCCUAAAAUGGUGGUAAAAAUGAAUAAUGGUAUCAUGAAAGUGAUUAAGAUGAAAUUUUCCCAUUUUUUUAUUGCUGAAUUUUUUGUACCUAAAAGUUUAUAAUUAACUUAACUGAUUUUUAAAUUUUAAUAGGUUGGACGAUUAAUAGGUGGAAACAAAACUUUGAAAAUAGAAAGACAAUGAUCUAGUUGUUGUUUUGAGAAUUUGGAUACUUUUGUUGAUGCAUGUUGACAUACAUUUUAAGUGAAUAUCAAAUCACUUUUUCUGCAACUAUAUGUAUAUUAUCUGAUCUUGAGCUAUUUAUAACAUCAAUAUAAAUAUUUUAAAUAAAAUGAAGGAAGUAAACUAGGAAUAUAGGGUUAAUUAUACAUAUGUUCGUUUAUUUUCAGAUAUUAUAUGUUUGGAUUCAGAUAUCCAAUCUCUUCUAAUUCAAUACCAUCUGGAUAUUUUACUACUUCGCUUCGGAUUUUGGUUUGAGUUUAUUUGGCUCAGAUUUAGGUGGCGUCGGAUUUCUUUUGACAGGUAGGGAAGGGAUGAGAAUAAGUUAAAACCAAGCUUGGUAUCUAUACUAUACUAAAAGGAGGAUAUAAGCUCCUUUUAGAGUGUCCACGUAGGCACAAAAAAUCGUCCAAUCAGAGAGCUCGAAGUUGCAACGUCAUAUCAUUUAUUUUUUCGUAAAAAAUAAAAAAACAAUGCAAAGGAGAGGAUCGAACCCGGGUUAGUAUGACAUAAAUAUAGGGCAAAUACCACUAAGCCAUUGAAACUUUCUUGAACACAUAUACAA
Brassica rapa (field mustard) is the source of this 4664-nucleotide long non-coding RNA. RefSeq lists it as uncharacterized. Lineage: Eukaryota; Viridiplantae; Streptophyta; Magnoliopsida; Brassicales; Brassicaceae. The record is from RefSeq and is a predicted model, not a curated record.